ACUGAAUGAAAUCUUACAAUAAUUUCUUAAUAAAAACACUUCAAUAUCAACUCCUAUCUCUCCUAACUAUAAAAGUACUAAAAAGGAAAAUAUUUAUAUUAUAAAGUAGUGAACAGCCACGUACCUUGUGCAUUAUGGUUUUACAAGCAUAUAAUUAAACAUACACUCCCGAAUACUACGCGAGCUGCCUUUCCAUAGCUAAGAGCCCCCUAUUAGUUAUAGCAUCAACUUUAGAAAAUGGAACGGCAGAGGCUACAUACCACACGCGCUAGACAAUUGCUGGUUAUCAGUAAACCUUAUAUAUUAAACCAUGUAGAACCUCUACAAUGUUAAGUCUUAGAGGAUAAGCCCUAAGAUUACAAGCAAACAAUCUUUAAUUAACUUAUCAAUAGGCCUAAAAUCAGCCAUCUAUAGUACUUCACCGUACCAUAACCUUAAUUCAUAACAAACUUGCCCGCCAAAACUGAUAUUUAAGAAUAAUAAAAAAUCUUAAAAUAUUAUGUAAAAAUAAGUAUUAAAAAUUUAUCUCAAAAAAUCUAUAAAUAAGCACUUAUAAAGGAACUCGGCAAAUUCUUAUUUCGACUGUUUAACAAAAACAUUGCUUCUUGUAUUCACAUAUGAAGUAAU
Molecule: ribosomal RNA, 627 nt
Filed under: Octodrilus gradinescui
Lineage: Eukaryota; Metazoa; Annelida; Clitellata; Crassiclitellata; Lumbricidae
Description: partial 16S ribosomal RNA
Source: RNAcentral